GGAGGGUUCGCCUAGUGGCCGAUGGCGCUGAUCUUGAAACCGGUAGGGCAGCGACAUCUUCGUGGGUUCGAAUCCCACACCCUCCG
Molecule: transfer RNA, 86 nt
Filed under: Micromonospora sp. 4G55
Lineage: Bacteria; Bacillati; Actinomycetota; Actinomycetes; Micromonosporales; Micromonosporaceae
Description: tRNA-OTHER
Rfam family: tRNA
About the family: Transfer RNA (tRNA) molecules are approximately 80 nucleotides in length. Their secondary structure includes four short double-helical elements and three loops (D, anti-codon, and T loops). Further hydrogen bonds mediate the characteristic L-shaped molecular structure. tRNAs have two regions of fundamental functional importance: the anti-codon, which is responsible for specific mRNA codon recognition, and the 3' end, to which the tRNAs corresponding amino acid is attached (by aminoacyl-tRNA synthetases). tRNAs cope with the degeneracy of the genetic code in two manners: having more than one tRNA (with a specific anti-codon) for a particular amino acid; and 'wobble' base-pairing, i.e. permitting non-standard base-pairing at the 3rd anti-codon position.
Source: RNAcentral